CGCGUAGGUGGAAUGUUAAGUUGUUUGUGAAAUCCCCGGGCUUAACCUGGGUUGGUCAGGCAAGACUGACGUUCUAGAGUACAGUAGAGGGUAGUAGAAUUUCCGGUGUAGCGGUGAAAUGCGUAGAUAUCGGAAGGAAUACCAGUGGCGAAGGCGGCUACCUGGACUGAUACUGACACUGAGGUGCGAAAGCGUGGGUAGCGAACA
RNAcentral lists this ribosomal RNA (207 nucleotides) under uncultured bacterium. RNAcentral's name for it is "partial 16S ribosomal RNA". It matches the Rfam family "Bacterial small subunit ribosomal RNA", at positions 568 to 774 of the family's 1533-position model. The record is from RNAcentral.